Molecule: non-coding RNA, 627 nt
Organism: Phalacrocorax carbo (great cormorant)
Lineage: Eukaryota; Metazoa; Chordata; Aves; Suliformes; Phalacrocoracidae
Source: RefSeq, a predicted model, not a curated record
CCCCACAGACGCGGACGAGUGCUCCAACGGGACGCUGUGCGGGGCUCACGCCGCCUGCCGCAACCUGCCGGGCUCCUUCCAGUGCGUCUGCGACCCCGGCUACGAGAGCGCCCGCCACGGCCACGGCUGCGUGGAUGUGGACGAGUGCGAGACGCUGCGGGGCGUCUGCGGGGCCGAACGGUGCGAGAACGUGGAAGGCUCCUUCCUCUGCCUCUGCCCCGACACCCGCGACGAGUUCGACCCCGUGCCGGGGCGAUGCGUGACCCCCCCGGCCCCCCAAAGCCCGCCGCGGGCCCCCCCCGAAGGCGCCGCCUGCUUCAGCAGGGCUUGCGGGGUGCUGGCACCCAACGUCAGCCGGGAGCGCUGCUGCUGCAGCCUGGGCUGGGCGUGGGGCACCCACUGCCCCGCGCGGCCCUGCCCGACCCCCGGCACCGAGGCCCACCUCGCCAUCUGCCCGCACGGGCAGGGCCGCACCGCCGAGGGUCCCCAGGGCUCGCCGGCAGACGUGGACGAGUGCCAGCUCUUCGGGCCCCAGCUCUGCCGGGGGGGGGUUUGCCUCAACGCCGCCCCCGGCUUCAGCUGCUACUGCCCCAGCGGCUACUACUACGAGCAGGAGCACCUGCAGUG